ACAUGGGAACAAGGCAUUGGUUUGAAAGUAAAGAAGAAGGCGUUGGACCGAGAGAAAAUAAUAAAUAAAAGAUCUCAAACUCAUCCACAUGCACUGCACAAUAUUUUUGCAAAAGAAUAUCAAUAUUUUCACCGUUAAAAAGUCCCAACGACAACCAAUACGAGUAACAUGCUUUUAACCUGAAACAAAGUGUAGGUCGAGGUUGAGGUGCAUUAUGGGGCACCGGCCAGAUGCGGAACGUAAAACAAUUGCCGCCUAACGGAAUCUCGGGCAAAGUAGCUAUAAUCUGUGCAAGAAAUUGAAGUCAGCAUAAGAAUUGUGCUGUUUGUUUGGAUUUUAUAAGGAGACAAAAUUGAUUCCAAGCAAAAAUUAAGUAAUUGAACUACAUGAAAUUGCACGACAAACUAUGUUCAAGCCAAAAUAAAGUAAUUAAACUACA
Molecule: long non-coding RNA, 439 nt
Organism: Ctenocephalides felis (cat flea)
Lineage: Eukaryota; Metazoa; Arthropoda; Insecta; Siphonaptera; Pulicidae
Exons: 3
Source: RefSeq, a predicted model, not a curated record